Molecule: ribosomal RNA, 638 nt
Filed under: uncultured bacterium
Lineage: Bacteria
Description: bacterial SSU rRNA
Rfam family: Bacterial small subunit ribosomal RNA
Source: RNAcentral
GAAAGCGUGGGGAGCAAAUAGGAUUAGAUACCCUAGUAGUCCACGCCGUAAACGAUGAGGACCAAGUGUUGGGGGUGAAACCUCAGUGCUGAAGUUAACGCAGUGAGUCCUCCGCCUGGGGAGUAUGCACGCAAGUGUGAAACUCAAAGGAAUUGACGGGGGCCCGCACAAGCGGUGGAGUAUGUGGUUUAAUUUGAAGCAACGCGAAGAACCUUACCAGGCCUUGACAUGGGAUGCGAAGACGCAGAGAUGCGUUGGAGGCAAACAUCCACACAGGUGGUGCAUGGUUGUCGUCAGCUCGUGUCGUGAGAUGUUGGGUCAAGUCCCGCAACGAGCGCAACCCUUGUGGCAUGUUGCUAACAGGAAAGAUGAGGACUCAUGCCAGACUGCCGGUGACAAACCGGAGGAAGGCGGGGAUGACGUCAAAUCAUCAUGCCCCUUAUGGCCUGGGCUACACACGUACUACAAUGGCGGCUACAAAGAGCGGCGAGACAGUAAUGUCGAGCGAAUCUCAUAAAAGCCGUCCCAGUUCGGAUUGGAGCCUGCAACCCGGCUCCAUGAAGUUGGAAUCGCUAGUAAUCGCGGAUCAGCAUGCCGCGGUGAAUACGUUCCCGGGCCUUGCACACACCGCCCGUCAA